Molecule: unclassified non-coding RNA, 337 nt
Filed under: soil metagenome
Description: partial contains 5.8S ribosomal RNA, internal transcribed spacer 2, and large subunit ribosomal RNA
Rfam family: 5.8S ribosomal RNA (bases 1-120)
Source: RNAcentral
GAUGAAGAACGUAGCGAAAUGCGAUAAGUAGUGUGAAUUGCAGAAUUCAGUGAAUCAUCGAAUCUUUGAACGCACAUUGCGCCCCUUGGUAUUCCAUGGGGCAUGCCUGUUCGAGCGUCAUUUGUACCUUCAAGCUCUGCUUGGUGUUGGGUGUUUGUCUCGCCUCUGCGUGUAGACUCGCCUUAAAACAAUUGGCAGCCGGCGUAUUGAUUUCGGAGCGCAGUACAUCUCGCGCUUUGCACUCAUAACGACGACGUCCAAAAGUACAUUUUUACACUCUUGACCUCGGAUCGGGUAGGGAUACCCGCUGAACUUAAGCAUAUCAAUAAGCGGAGGA